RNAcentral lists this ribosomal RNA (1105 nucleotides) under uncultured bacterium. RNAcentral's name for it is "bacterial SSU rRNA". It matches the Rfam family "Bacterial small subunit ribosomal RNA", at positions 355 to 1482 of the family's 1533-position model. The record is from RNAcentral.
UGGGGAAUUUUGCGCAAUGGGGGAAACCCUGACGCAGCAACGCCGCGUGGAGGAUGACGCAUUUCGGUGUGUAAACUCCUUUUCUACAAGAAGAAAUUGACGGUAUUGUAGGAGUAAGCGCCGGCUAACUCCGUGCCAGCAGCCGCGGUAAUACGGGGGGCGCAAGCGUUACUCGGAAUCACUGGGCGUAAAGGGAGCGUAGGCGUUCGGGCAAGUCUCCUGUGAAAUCCAUCGGCUUAACCGAUGAACUGCAGGAGAAACUAUCCGAAUAGAGUAUGGAAGAGGUCAGUGGAAUGGGUGGUGUAGGGGUAAAAUCCGUAGAGAUCACCCGGAAUACCAACGGCGAAGGCAACUGACUGGGACAUUACUGACGCUGAGGCUCGAAAGCGUGGGGAGCAAACAGGAUUAGAUACCCUGGUAGUCCACGCCCUAAACGAUGAAUGCUAGUCGCGGGGAGGCUUCGACCUUUCCGGGACGCAGCUAACGCAUUAAGCAUUCCGCCUGGGGAGUGCGGCCGCAAGGUUAAAACUCAAAGGAAUAGACGGGGACCCGCACAAGCGGUGGAGCAUGUGGUUUAAUUCGAAGAUACGCGAAGAACCUUACCCGGGCUUGACAUGCAGCGAACUUUGCAGAAAUGCGAGGGUGCUCGCAAGAGAACGCUGACACAGGUGCUGCACGGCUGUCGUCAGCUCGUGUCGUGAGAUGUUGGGUUAAGUCCCGCAACGAGCGCAACCCCCGUGUUUAGUUGCUAGCAGUUCGGCUGAGCACUCUAAACAGACCGCCCGCGCAAGCGGGAGGAAGGUGGGGAUGACGUCAAGUCAUCAUGGCCCUUAUGUCCGGGGCGACACACGUGCUACAAUGGGGGGGACAACAAGACGCAAUGCCGCGAGGCGGAGCAAAUUUAUAAAUCCUCUCUCAGUUCGGAUUGGAGUCUGCAACUCGACUCCAUGAAGCUGGAAUCGCUAGUAAUCGCGGAUCAGCCAUGCCGCGGUGAAUACGUUCCCGGGUCUUGUACUCACCGCCCGUCACACCAUGGGAGUUGAUUUCACCCGAAGUCGGAAUACGAAAUUCGUUACCGCCCACGGUGGAAUCAGCGACUGGGGUG